Molecule: small nuclear RNA, 141 nt
Filed under: Carlito syrichta (Philippine tarsier)
Lineage: Eukaryota; Metazoa; Chordata; Mammalia; Primates; Tarsiidae
Description: U4 spliceosomal RNA (ENSTSYG00000029382.1)
Rfam family: U4 spliceosomal RNA
About the family: U4 small nuclear RNA (U4 snRNA) is a component of the major U2-dependent spliceosome.
Source: Rfam by way of RNAcentral
AACUUUGCACAGUGGCAGUAUUGUAGUCAAUGAAGUUUAUUCAAGGCAUGAUUAUUGCUAAUUGAAAACUUUCCCCAAUAUCCUGUGAUGAUGAUUUGCAAUAUAGUCAGAACUGGCAAUUUUUGACAGUCUCUAUGAAGA